GACGAACGCUGGCGGCGUGCGUAACACAUGCAAGUCGAACGGAAAGGCCCUGCUUUUGUGGGGUGCUCGAGUGGCGAACGGGUGAGUAACACGUGAGUAACCUGCCCUUGACUUUGGGAUAACUUCAGGAAACUGGGGCUAAUACCGGAUAGGAGCUCCUGCUGCAUGGUGGGGGUUGGAAAGUUUCGGCGGUUGGGGAUGGACUCGCGGCUUAUCAGCUUGUUGGUGGGGUAGUGGCUUACCAAGGCUUUGACGGGUAGCCGGCCUGAGAGGGUGACCGGCCACAUUGGGACUGAGAUACGGCCCAGACUCCUACGGGAGGCAGAAGUGGGGAAUAUUGCACAAUGGGCGGAAGCCUGAUGCAGCAACGCCGCGUGCGGGAUGACGGCCUUCGGGUUGUAAACCGCUUUCGCCUGUGACGAAGCGUGAGUGACGGUAAUGGGUAAAGAAGCACCGGCUAACUACGUG
This 468-nucleotide ribosomal RNA is filed under the name uncultured bacterium. RNAcentral's name for it is "partial 16S ribosomal RNA". It matches the Rfam family "Bacterial small subunit ribosomal RNA", at positions 28 to 507 of the family's 1533-position model. The record is from RNAcentral.